This 623-nucleotide ribosomal RNA is filed under the name uncultured Fischerella sp. RNAcentral's name for it is "bacterial SSU rRNA". It matches the Rfam family "Bacterial small subunit ribosomal RNA", at positions 149 to 806 of the family's 1533-position model. Lineage: Bacteria; Bacillati; Cyanobacteriota; Cyanophyceae; Nostocales; Hapalosiphonaceae. The record is from RNAcentral.
CGCGGGAGCGGUGGCUAAUACCGGGUAUGCCGAGAGGUGAAAGGUUAACUGCCUGGAGAUGAGCUCGCGUCUGAUUAGCUAGUUGGUGGUGUAAGGGACUACCAAGGCGACGAUCAGUAGCUGGUCUGAGAGGAUGAUCAGCCACACUGGAACUGAGACACGGUCCAGACUCCUACGGGAGGCAGCAGUGGGGAAUUUUCCGCAAUGGGCGAAAGCCUGACGGAGCAAUACCGCGUGAGGGAGGAAGGCUCUUGGGUUGUAAACCUCUUUUCUCAGGGAAUAAGCAAGUGAAGGUACCUGAGGAAUCAGCAUCGGCUAACUCCGUGCCAGCAGCCGCGGUAAUACGGAGGAUGCAAGCGUUAUCCGGAAUGAUUGGGCGUAAAGCGUCCGUAGGUGGCUGUGUGUGUCUAUUGUUAAAGAGUUUGGCUCAACCAAAUAAGGGCGGUAGAAACUACACAGCUAGAGUGCGUUCGGGGCAGAGGGAAUUCCUGGUGUAGCGGUGAAAUGUUUAGAGAUCAAGAAGAUCACCGGUGGCGAGAGCGCUCUGCUAGGCCGCAACUGACACUGAGGGACGAAAGCUAGGGGAGCGAAUGGGAUUAGAUACUCCAGUAGUCAGCUAGGGG